RNAcentral lists this long non-coding RNA (313 nucleotides) under Brachypodium distachyon (stiff brome). Its description in RNAcentral is "long non-coding RNA (BDIS_LNC004406)". Lineage: Eukaryota; Viridiplantae; Streptophyta; Magnoliopsida; Poales; Poaceae. The record is from RNAcentral.
GGAAUGCGUGUGUGCCUCAUAUUUUGGGACGAAGGGAGUAUUAUGAAUAUAUGCAGGAUAUAAUUAGGUAAAAUACUUAAGAUCUAUUGUUUGUACUAUCUAGGUGACAUAUACUUAUCAACUUCAGUAUAUCAUUAACCAUCAAAAGGUCAAGAAGUUUUAGAAAACAUAGCACAACUGUUGAAUCAAAUAUGUUUUCAUGUCCUCAUUAUUCUUUAUAUACAUGCAUCAUUGCUACCAUGCAUCGGAGCGUGUAGAACACGCGAGCAAAUGAGGAGAAUCUGCCGAUGGUACUGUGCUCUAAGGAAGAACU